GUUGGUUCCUUUCGGAUGGUCCGGGAGCUGUCCAGCCAAAUCCUACCUUUGGUUAGCGGAAGCUUCUUCGAUUGGGUUAUCAUUAGGACAUUUCCUAUGACAAUGGUGAACUUUGGACUAGGGUGAAGACAACUACAUUUGCAGGCUGAAGGAAGCCUCAACACAUAUCACCACCCGGGGACUGUCCAGUAUUCAGCUAAAUGUGGCAGGUUUGAAAUUGGUGAAUGCUAGAACCCUCACUAUUGAGGCCAUUCUCUUACCCAAAGUAUUUUUAUCAGAA
This is a long non-coding RNA of Dromiciops gliroides (monito del monte), 280 nucleotides long. RefSeq lists it as uncharacterized. The transcript is spliced from 3 exons. NCBI's taxonomy places the organism in Eukaryota, Metazoa, Chordata, Mammalia, Microbiotheria, Microbiotheriidae. The record is from RefSeq and is a predicted model, not a curated record.